RNAcentral lists this long non-coding RNA (220 nucleotides) under Ananas comosus (pineapple). RNAcentral describes it as "long non-coding RNA (ACOM_LNC030756)". Lineage: Eukaryota; Viridiplantae; Streptophyta; Magnoliopsida; Poales; Bromeliaceae. The record is from RNAcentral.
AGAGCAAGAGUUCUAGAGAGAGAAAGAGAAGAAUUGAGAGAAGAGGAGAGAAAUGGCUGUGGAAGAGAGGGGAUGGAUCAUAUAUAGUGUUGUAACAAUUGCACUUAAGCCCCCCCACUUGUUUCCCAUUGAUCUGCCCAGACUGGGCAUUUUUCGCCUUCCGGGACCGGUCUCCCCGACCUGGGACCAGUUCCCGAACGGGGGUUUUCCAGGACUUAGC